GUUGUCUGAAGGCCGAGGCCAAGAUGGCGGUGCUGUCAGCUCCUGGCCUGCGCGGCUUCCGGAUCCUUGGUCUGCGCUCCAGCGUGGGCCCGGCUGUGCAGGCACGAAGUGUCCAUCAGAGCGUGGCCACCGAUGGCCCAAGCAGCACCCAGCCUGCCCUGCCAAAGGCCAGAGCCGUGGCUCCCAAACCCAGCAGCCGGGGCGAGUAUGUGGUGGCCAAGCUGGAUGACCUCGUCAACUGGGCCCGCCGGGUGAGUACUAUGAGCUGCAGGCCCUCCUCGAGCGCCAGGGCCUCUCUGCACACUCACAGGCACACAUAUACACACACCAACGUGCAGACACGUACACACACAACACAUGCAUGCACACUCACAUGUAUGGACAGAUGUGUACACGGACCACACGCACACAAUGCACAUAUGCACACUCGCACACAUGCACACUCGCACACAUGCACACACAAGCACAUGCGCACACACGCUCGCACACAUACAUACACACAUGCACACUUGCACUCAUGCACACACACUCAUGCGCACACAUACACAUGCACAUGCACACUCGCACACACGUGCACAUAUAUGCACAGUCAUGCGCACACAUGCACACUCACACACAUGCACACACGUACUUGUGUGGACGCAUGCAUGUGCGCCUGUUGGCAUGCAUGCACACAGGCACACUCACUGAUGCACACACACCCCUGCGGCCGUGGAGCAGGGCAGACCCUCCCGGAGGCCCCUGUGCUGGCCUGGUGGCCUGUGGUUCCAUCUGAGGAUUCGGACCCUGCUUGAGAUGAACCCCUCCGUUUCCGUCAUUCUCUUUCUGGCUUCCGUGUGUUCCUCUUGUUUCUCUUUUAAGGUGAAAGCAGUGUUUUAAGUUAAAAGGAGCGCGUGUGAAGGCAGUAGAUCCUUCUCGGUACCCGUUUAAAGCCUCCCCUGCCUGUGGCGCCAGCCCCCACGCAGCCCCUGCCAUCCCCCUGCAGCGUGAGCACGUGCAGCUCCCUCCAGCUCCUGCGGCACUUGCCGUGACAGCCCGGGUUCAACAAUCCCCCAUUGAUGGACGUUCACUGUUUCCUUUUGUUUUUUGUUUCCUAAACAAUGCCACGGCGAACGUCCUGCCAGGGCCGCAGUGGUCGAGACAAGGAUAGUUUUUAAUGCAGGAUAGUUCUUUUCUUUUUCUUUUCUUUCUUUUUUUUUUUUUUUUGAGACGGAGGCUCGCUCUGUCGCCGAGGCUGGAGUGCAGUGGCGUGAUCUCGGCUCACUGCAAGCUCCGCUUCCCGGGUUCACGCCAUUCUCCUGCCUCAGCCUCCUAAGUAGCUGGGACUACAGGUGCCCGCCACCACGCCCGGCUAAUUUUUUGUAUUUUUAUUUUUAGUAGAGACGGGGUUUCACCGUGUUGGCCAGGAUGGUCUCGAUCUCCUGACCUCGUGAUCCGCCCACCUCGGCCUCCCAAAGUGCUGGGAUUACAGGCGUGAGCCACCGCGCCCGGCUAAUGCAGGAUAGUUUCUAAUGGAGGGAACCUGAGACAUGGCCAGGGGCCGUCCCAACACAGGCUUCUGGCGGGCAGGUGGACCUGGCCAUUUCUGCCCGGGCAGCCCUGCCUCACUCUGUAGCCUGACCCUCUCACCCGCCAAUACAUGCAGCAGGGCCCCUGCCAGGUCUCAGAGCCACGUGCAGGGAGAGCGGGAACCGUGGGAGAAAAGAGAAGCCACGGGGAUGGAGGAGAGGGGAGGGAGUGGCCAAGGAGAUCUGAGAGGGCUUCCUGGAGGCGUCGCACUUGGUAUGCGGACCCAGAUCUAGUUAAGGCAGAGUUCCCGGUUAGACCUGCGCUACUACUCGCCUGUAGCCCACGUGCUCAGAGAGUGGCUGGAGCCCCCUGUUGAAAUGGUGGGACUUAGGAUACACUGGGUUCGAGGAACUAUGUGAUGAGGACAGAUCUCACCCGUUUCUCUCUAUUUUAUGUAUUUGAAUGUGGCUGGUGGGGCGCGCUUUACAACUCUUGGGGCCCAGAGGCCACCUGCAGGAGCCGCUGUGCCUCUCACCUCUGCCGGCUGCCACCCCGGGACAUGAGUCGGGGGUUCUGGGUGCUCCACGUGGAGUCUCACGCUGGGCCACGCGGGGCUCCGGGGGUGGCGUCUGACCCGAGCCCGGCCUCCGCAGAGUUCUCUGUGGCCCAUGACCUUCGGCCUGGCCUGCUGCGCCGUGGAGAUGAUGCACAUGGCAGCACCCCGCUACGACAUGGACCGCUUCGGCGUGGUCUUCCGCGCCAGCCCGCGCCAGUCCGACGUCAUGAUCGUGGCCGGCACACUCACCAACAAGAUGGCCCCAGCGCUUCGCAAGGUAGGCCUCGUCCCAGCCGCCCAGCCGCCCCCAGAGUGAGCUGCGCACGGACCCCGCCUCUCUUCCAGGUCUACGACCAGAUGCCGGAGCCGCGCUACGUGGUCUCCAUGGGGAGCUGCGCCAACGGAGGAGGCUACUACCACUACUCCUACUCGGUGGUGAGGGGCUGCGACCGCAUCGUGCCCGUGGACAUCUACAUCCCAGGUAGGGCCGGGACCGCACCGCCCACGAGGAAGCUGGAGACAGGGCCAGCGCCACACGGAGCCCGGCGGCCCCUGUGAGGGAGUCCCACACCCCCAGCAGACGGCGGGCUCCCCCAUCCUAUGGAUGGGCCGACUCGGAGCGCUGCCUCUUAGUGGAGUGUGUCCCCUGUGAGAAGUCGGCGAUGUAUUCAGGCAUCAGAGGGAUCAGAGGGAGCAGGGGAAGCUGAGUGGAAUUCCUGACACUCGCCUGGUUUACAGCAGUUUCAUAUGGUCCUACCUGGCACAAACCAAAGACCUGCAGUUAGAAAUACCAAGAGAGAAGGUUCCUGGGGGCCAAGGACACUGUCCCGCGCCCUCAGCCUUACAGAAGGGCACGCAGGA
RNAcentral lists this small RNA (2926 nucleotides) under Pan troglodytes (chimpanzee). Its description in RNAcentral is "retained intron". The record is from RNAcentral. Lineage: Eukaryota; Metazoa; Chordata; Mammalia; Primates; Hominidae.